Molecule: ribosomal RNA, 930 nt
Filed under: Enterococcus casseliflavus
Lineage: Bacteria; Bacillati; Bacillota; Bacilli; Lactobacillales; Enterococcaceae
Description: bacterial SSU rRNA
Rfam family: Bacterial small subunit ribosomal RNA
Source: RNAcentral
UGCAGUCGAACGCUUUUUCUUUCACCGGAGCUUGCUCCACCGAAAGAAAAAGAGUGGCGAACGGGUGAGUAACACGUGGGUAACCUGCCCAUCAGAAGGGGAUAACACUUGGAAACAGGUGCUAAUACCGUAUAACACUAUUUUCCGCAUGGAAGAGAGUUGAAAGGCGCUUUUGCGUCACUGAUGGAUGGACCCGCGGUGCAUUAGCUAGUUGGUGAGGUAACGGCUCACCAAGGCAACGAUGCAUAGCCGACCUGAGAGGGUGAUCGGCCACACUGGGACUGAGACACGGCCCAGACUCCUACGGGAGGCAGCAGUAGGGAAUCUUCGGCAAUGGACGAAAGUCUGACCGAGCAACGCCGCGUGAGUGAAGAAGGUUUUCGGAUCGUAAAACUCUGUUGUUAGAGAAGAACAAGGAUGAGAGUAAAACGUUCAUCCCUUGACGGUAUCUAACCAGAAAGCCACGGCUAACUACGUGCCAGCAGCCGCGGUAAUACGUAGGUGGCAAGCGUUGUCCGGAUUUAUUGGGCGUAAAGCGAGCGCAGGCGGUUUCUUAAGUCUGAUGUGAAAGCCCCCGGCUCAACCGGGGAGGGUCAUUGGAAACUGGGAGACUUGAGUGCAGAAGAGGAGAGUGGAAUUCCAUGUGUAGCGGUGAAAUGCGUAGAUAUAUGGAGGAACACCAGUGGCGAAGGCGGCUCUCUGGUCUGUAACUGACGCUGAGGCUCGAAAGCGUGGGGAGCGAACAGGAUUAGAUACCCUGGUAGUCCACGCCGUAAACGAUGAGUGCUAAGUGUUGGAGGGUUUCCGCCCUUCAGUGCUGCAGCAAACGCAUUAAGCACUCCGCCUGGGGAGUACGACCGCAAGGUUGAAACUCAAGGAAUUGACGGGGGCCCGCACAAGCGGUGGAGCAUGUGGUUUAAUUCGAAGCAA